RNAcentral lists this ribosomal RNA (501 nucleotides) under uncultured bacterium. RNAcentral's name for it is "bacterial SSU rRNA". It matches the Rfam family "Bacterial small subunit ribosomal RNA", at positions 30 to 518 of the family's 1533-position model. The record is from RNAcentral.
AUUGAACGCUGGCGGCAGGCCUAACACAUGCAAGUCGAACGGUAACAGGAAGCAGCUUGCUGCUCGCUGACGAGUGGCGGACGGGUGAGUAAUGUCUGGGAAACUGCCUGAUGGAGGGGGAUAACUACUGGAAACGGUAGCUAAUACCGCAUAACGUCGCAAGACCAAAGAGGGGGACCUUCGGGCCUCUUGCCAUCAGAUGUGCCCAGAUGGGAUUAGCUAGUUGGUGGGGUAACGGCUCACCAAGGCGACGAUCCCUAGCUGGUCUGAGAGGAUGACCAGCCACACUGGAACUGAGACACGGUCCAGACUCCUACGGGAGGCAGCAGUGGGGAAUAUUGCACAAUGGGCGCAAGCCUGAUGCAGCCAUGCCGCGUGUAAUGAAGAAGGCCUUCGGGUUGUAAAGUACUUUCAGCGGGGAGGAAGGUGUUGUGGUUAAUAACCGCAGCAAUUGACGUUACCCGCAGAAGAAGCACCGGCUAACUCCGUGCCAGCCGCAGC